GACGAACGCUGACGGCGUGCUUUAGACAUGCAAGUCGAACGAGAGAGCCCUUCGGGGUUAGUAAAGUGGCGAACGGGUGAGUAACACGUGGGCAAUCUGCCCUUCGUUGGGGGACAACCGGGGGAAACCCCGGCUAAUACCCCGUAGGCUUGUCGGUUCGCAUGGCCGGACAGGGAGAGGUAGCUUCGGCCAUCGGCAGACGGGGGGGCCCGCGGUACAUGAGCUAGUUGGUGAGGUAAAGGCCCACCAAGGCGACGAUGUAUAGCUGGUCUGAGAGGAUGAUCAGCCACACUGGGACUGAGACACGGCCCAGACUCCUACGGGAGGCAGCAGUCGGGAAUCUUGCACAAUGGGCGAAAGCCUGAUGCAGCAACGCCGUGUGAGCGACGAAGGCCCUAGGGUCGUAAAGCUCUGUUGUUAGGGACGAAGGGCGAAGGGUUAAUAGCCCUUAGCCUGACGGUACCUUUCGAGGAAGCCCCGGCUAACUACGUGCCAGCAGCCGCCGUAA
Molecule: ribosomal RNA, 508 nt
Filed under: uncultured bacterium
Lineage: Bacteria
Description: partial 16S ribosomal RNA
Rfam family: Bacterial small subunit ribosomal RNA
Source: RNAcentral